GCUGCGUGCGCCGAUCGCCUAGAGCAGCGCGAGAGCUACGUGCGUGUGUUGGCGCGCGAUGUCCCGGGACCGCGUUCUCGCCGGGGCUGCAACCCCGGGCGCAGCGGGGGCAGCGGAGCCGAUCCCCCUCUCCGCAACCGCCGCGGCGCCGCGGGUUUCGGAUCCGCUGAGGCGAUGUCUGCAGUCUAUGAGAAGCUGCUUUGUCCUCCCCUCUCCCUGGCAGUGCUAUCCUCACCCUGGCUCGGAUGCAGUUAUGGCUCUGCCCUUCAAUUGCUUGCUGUGUGUUGCCUUUUCGUAGAAUUAUAGACCAUAAAGACUCUAGCGUGCAGAUUUUGGAUUCGCCAGUUCCCAUAACCCUGUGAGUCAGCAGCCUGCUGCCUGACCUGAAGAUUUUGGGUUCGUCAGCCCCUGCUAUCAUGUGAAUCAGGAGAAGCCUCCAGCCUGCCGCUGACCCGUGCAUUUGGGACUUGCCAGCCUCCACCAUUGCGUGAGCCAUUUCCUUGAAAUAAAUCUAUUUAUUUACAUAUAUGCUUCACUGGUUUUGCUCUUCUAGAAAACCCAGCCUAAGACAUUAUGCAUGGAUAUUUGGUGGCCGGAGGAGUAGACUGUGGUAGAGUUGUUCGCCAAGGUACAUUCUCACCUUCUUCCCUUAUUAUUUAUCAAUUAUUGUCGAGUUGAUUCUGACUCUGGCAACCCUGUGUGUUUGAGUAGAGCCAUACUUAAUACGGUUUUCAAUGGCCGUGAUCUUUCAGAAAGAGUUUGCCAGUGCCUCUGGGUAGAUUUAGACUGCCAACCUUUUUAUUAGUACUGCCAAGUAUUAGCUGGAUCCAUGGCUGCCCAGCUGGAGAACUUUAUCACUUAUCUUUCCAGUAGAUGUAGCUGACUCUAACCAAGGCAAUGGAAUGAAUGGAAAUGAUAUGUGCUACUUCUGGUGCGCUUUUUCUUUCUUCCUUUUGCCUGGCUAAGAUGUAAAUGUGAUUGCAGGGGAUGAGAUGGUCACUUAGUACCCAGAGAUGGAAGUCAUGUAUUAAGGAUGGCAGAGUUGCCUUACCAGUCCUGGAACAGCUAGCUCUAGACAAGUACAUGAGAGAAAAAAAAAAAAAAAGACUAUUUUCAGAUGUUAUCUUUUGGUCUCGAUUAAUCUCUUAAUCUAUAUCUCAACUAAAAGGUUUUAGAUUAAAGCAUUAAGUAUCUUUACCUACAAGAGCAAGGCAGAGCAAUUCUUGAGCAAAUGCAGAAGACAUUUUUGCUAAUGUAAGUCAGAAUUUAGGUCCAAUUAAAUUCACUGCAUAACCAUUUGUUAUGGAUUGAAUCGUGUCCUCAAAAAUAUAUGUUGUAAAUUCUAAUACCUUUUAUACCUGUGUUUAUAGUCCUAUUUGGGAAUGAGUUUUUUUAUUAUGUUAAUGAGACAGUAUCACUAUAGGGUAUAUUUUAAGUCAACCUCUUUUGAAACGUAAAAGAGCAGAUUAAACAGGCAGCAAGUAAGCAUAGAUGGGGAUGAUAGGUGUCACACCACAUGUCUUAGUUGUCUAUUGCUGCUGUAACAGAUAUAGUACAAGUAGGUGGCUUUAAAAAACAGAAAUUUAUUUUCUCACAGUUAGGAGGCUGGAAGUCUGAAUUCAGGACAUGGGUUCUAUGGGAAGACAUUGUUUGCUCUGCGGUAAGAUCCUUGCCCCUUGGUUCCUUGGUGAUCUUCAUGUGACGUGGCAUCUAUCUUUUCCUGUCUCUGCUUGCUUAAUCUUCUCCUAUUAUAUCUCAAAAGAGAUUGACUCAAGACAUACCCUACUUUAAUACUGCCUCAGUAACAUAGCGAAGAAAACCCAUUCCCAAAUGAGAUUAUAGCCACAUGUAUAAACACCCAUUGCCAUCAAGUCAAUUCUGACUCAUAAUGACCCUAUAGGCCAGAGUAGAACUGCUCCAUAGGGUUUCCAAGGAGCAGCUGGUGGAUUUGAACUGAUAACCUUCUGGUUAGCAGACAAGCUCUUAACCACUAUGCCACCAGGGCUCCACCACAUGUAUAGGAGUUAGGAUUUAUAACACAUAUUUCUUAGGGAUGCAAUUCAGUCUAUAACAUUCUACCCUUUGGCCCUUAAAAAUUCGUGUCCUUCCUACAUACAAAACAUAAUCAUCCAUUACAUCAUCCCAAAAGUCUUAUAUUAACUCCAAGACCAAAAUCUCAUCUUCUGAGUUAUCUAAAUCAAAUAUGGGUAAGAUUUUAGGCAUAUUUCAUCCUGGGACAAAAUUCCUCUUUAUCUGUAAACCUGUGAAAUCUAGAAUACAAGUUUUAUGCUUCCAAAGUAAAAUGGUGGAACUGACACAGGGUAGACAUAGUCAUUACAAAUGGGAGAAAUUUGAGGGAAAGAAGCAAUAAUGGGUACCAGCAGAACAAAUUACAGUAGCUCUUAAGACUUGAAAAUAAUUCUCUGUUCUCUGAGACCAUCUGGGCAAUGGCCCUGCCCUUCAGACUCUGAGGGUUGGCCAUGCUUUCUGGUUUCUGGGUGUAGGCCCCUAGGCUUUGGGUGGAGGCCCCACCUUCCAGGUCUACUAAUAUAGAAACCCUGCCUCCUCUGCUUUGUUUGGCCCCGUUCUUCUGGUCCAUCUAAGUGGCAACCCCACGACCUCAGCCUCAGUAGGCUCCGUUCUUCUGCCCUUUGGGCAUUGCAACCCUGCCACCUCAUCUCUGGGUGAAGGCCCCAUACUGCUGUCACACCUGAACAGCAGCCCCAUGCUCUGGAACUGAGUUGGUGGAGUUCUGACUCUUUGAAACCCAAGAGGCUGUGACUCCACCCUUUGAUGCCUAGUAGUUUGUGGCUCCACCCUCUGCUCCUUCACACAGUUCUGUUUAUCUCUACACUCCUUCAGGGAUGGUCCUUGUCUUUUCUUGAAGGACAACGGAUAUAGCUCCUUUGGCCUGUUCCCUGCCUGCAGAAUUCCAGGAGGCAGACAGCUUUCCUUUCUUUCAUCCUGCCUCUGUCCCCUUCAGUCUAAGAAGAUGGGUUUUCUGCUGUGAUAGUUGGUUAGAUCCAUCAGUCACAGGCUUAACCUCUUUAACAAAAGAUUGUGUAGCCUCGUCCUUGGUAAAAAUUCUAGAACACAUAUCCUGAGUUUGUACAACAGAAUUUUCCAAAUCUUUAUAAGUUUUGUUUUCUUUGAGCAUAGUUCAUUUUUAAGUCCAUACCUUUCCUUUCACAUUUUACUACAAGCAGCAAGGAGAAACCGUGCAGCCCCUUUAAGAUAUUGCUUAGAAAUCUCCUCAGCCAAAAAUCCAAGUUCAUCACUUAAAAUUCUACCAUCCACCAAACAUUUGAACAUAAUUCAGACAAGUUCUCUGCCACUGCAUAAAAACAAGUUCUCUGCCACUGCUCAUACUCCUCCCCUGUCCAACCACAUGUUCACCAUUUUCUUUUGAAGUCUCACCAGCAAAUCAUUUAAUGUCCACAUUUCUAGUAACAUUUUGUUGCUGGCACCAUACGUAUUCUCUGAGACAAUAGAGACUUUCUCUGUGGCUCUCCUUACUUGCUUCUGCACCGUCAUUGAUUGAAUUUUUUCCCCCGGAAAUAUCUGUCAACUUAGCUAGGUCAUGAUUCCCAGUAUUGUCAUCUGAUGUGAUUUCCCUAUGUGUUGUAAAUCCUAUCACUAGAUGUAAUAAGAUGGAUUAGUGGCAGUUAUAUUGAUGAGGUCUACAAGAUUAGAUACUGUCUUAAGCCAAUCUCUUUUGAGAUGUAAAAGAAUCGAGCGGAGAGAGACAGGGACCUCAUACCACCAAGAAAGCAGUGCCGGGAGCAGACUGUGUCCUUUGGACCUGAGGUUCCUGCGCCGAUAUCCUCCUGGACCAAGGGAAGUCUAAAGCAUCACAAGGACCUUCCUGCAGAGCUGACAGAGAGAGCCUUCCCCUGGAGCUGGUGCCCUGAAUUCGGACUUCUAGCCUAUUGUACUGUGAGAGAAUGAACUUCUCUUUGUUAAAGCCAUCCACUUGUGGUAUUUCUGUUAUAACAGUACUAGAUGACCAAGACAUGAGCCCUCACCAGAAUUGCCUUUGAUGUCCAUAAUUCUUCCAGCAGUCUAUUCAAGGCAAUCUAGGCACCUUAAAAUUCUUCCAGCCUCUACCCAUUACUCAAUUCCAAAAUUGCUUCCAUGUUUUAGGUAUCUGUUACAGCAGCGCCUCAUUCUUCUGGUACUAAAUUCUGUCUUAGUUAUCUAGUGUUGCUAUAACAAAAUGCCACAAGCGGAUGGCUUUAACAAACAGGAAUUUAUUUUCUCACAGUUGGAGGCUAGAAUUCAGAAUUCAGGGUGCUCGCUCUAGGAGAAGGCCUUUCUCUCUGUCGGCUCUAGAGAAAGAUCCUUGUCUCUUUGAACUUCUGCUUCUGAGAGACCUUCACAUGACUUAGCAUCUCUUUUACCCCAACUCUCCUUCUCUUGCUUAAUUUCUUUUAAAUCUAAAAAGAAAUUGACUCAAGAUACACCCUAUACAAAUCCUGCCUCAUUAACAAAGACAACCCAUUCCUAAAUAAGAGUAUAACCACAGGCAUAGAGGUUAGGAUUUACGGGACAAAAUUUUUUUGAGACACAAAUUCAAUCCAUAACACCAUAGUACACUUAAUGUGAUCUGAUCCUGUAUGUGAUAUUAUGGAAGAAGACCCAGCGCUUGACCACCUAUUUCUGGAUUGUUAUAUAGAAAGAAACUUUUCUGUUUAAACUGCUGCAUUUUGGGUUUCUUUGUUAUACCACAGAGGAUACUUACACAGCGUGCUAAGGAAUAAACAUUGUUAGAAUUUGUGGGAAGACCAGAGCCUAAUCACAAAAGUAACAAAUCAAAGCAGUGUAUGUCAGAUCGGGAGGUGUGUAAAGCAAAGACUGUCUCAGUGUAGAGGAGCUCAGAAGGAACUACGUGGAGAGUCUGAAGAAAAGGAAUUUCCAGUGAUGAAUAUGGAAUGAUUGAGGGCAGGAAUACUUAAUUCUCUCCUUAAAACAACAACAAAAAGCUUGUUGCAACUUUUCUUGCUAUUAUUCUGGUAAAUGAAAUAAGAAACCCCAGUUUUAUAAAAAGAAACUUUGAAUAAUAAAUUACCACAUCCUUAAAAAUGUUUAUUUUUUAUAAUUAUAGCAGGAACACAUAUCCGUUGGAACACUUUACUGUAACCAUGUAUAACAUUUUCAAAGAAGUUUAAAGGAAAUAAAAAUCAGCAGAAUCCCACUAUCCUGAACAACAAAACUGCAAACAUUUUUAUUUCUUCUUGUCUUUUUUCAAUGAGUGUACAAGUGGUUGUAUGUGUAUUUUUGUAUAGUUGAGAUCAUACUGUAGUUCUGUUGUGUUUUCUCAUUUGACUUUACGUAAGUACUUGUCCUUGAUAUUAAAAAAUUUUCACUUCUUAGUUGCCGAGUAUUUCUAGCAU
This is a long non-coding RNA of Loxodonta africana (African savanna elephant), 5393 nucleotides long. RefSeq lists it as uncharacterized. The transcript is spliced from 3 exons. The record is from RefSeq and is a predicted model, not a curated record. NCBI's taxonomy places the organism in Eukaryota, Metazoa, Chordata, Mammalia, Proboscidea, Elephantidae.